RNAcentral lists this ribosomal RNA (511 nucleotides) under uncultured bacterium. Its description in RNAcentral is "bacterial SSU rRNA". It matches the Rfam family "Bacterial small subunit ribosomal RNA", at positions 19 to 518 of the family's 1533-position model. The record is from RNAcentral.
AUGGCUCAGGACGAACGCUGGCGGCGUGCCUAACACAUGCAAGUCGAGCGGAGACAUACAGCGAAGCGGAAGUUUCGGAUGGAAGCUAAGAGGUAUGUUUAGCGGCGGACGGGUGAGUAACGCGUGAGCAACCUGUCCUUCACAGGGGGAUAACACAUCGAAAGGUGUACUAAUACCGCAUAAGACCACAAUGAGACAUCUCGCAGGGGUCAAAGGAGAAAUCCGGUGAAGGGUGGGCUCGCGUCCGAUUAGAUAGUUGGUGAGGUAACGGCCCACCAAGUCAACGAUCGGUAGCCGACCUGAGAGGGUGAUCGGCCACAUUGGGACUGAGGCACGGCCCAAACUCCUGCGGGAGGCAGCAGUGGGGAAUAUUGGGGCAAUGGGGGGAACCCUGACCCAGCAACGCCGCGUGAGGGAAGAAGGUUUUCGGAUCGUAAACCUCUGUCCUUGGUGAAGAGUAAGAGACGGUAGCCAAGGAGGAAGCCCCGGCUAACUACGUGCCAGCCGCGGC